GACGAACGCUGGCGGCGUGCUUAACACAUGCAAGUCGAGCGGUAAGGCCCUUUCGGGGGUACACGAGCGGCGAACGGGUGAGUAACACGUGGGUGACCUGCCCUCAGCCCUGGGAUAAGCCUGGGAAACCGGGUCUAAUACUGGAUAUGACUCCAUGACGCAUGUUGUGGGGUGGAAAGCCUUGUGCGGCUGAGGAUGGGCCCGCGGCCUAUCAGCUUGUUGGUGGGGUGANGGCCUACCAAGGCGACGACGGGUAGCCGGCCUGAGAGGGCGACCGGCCACACUGGGACUGAGACACGGCCCAGACUCCUACGGGAGGCAGCAGUGGGGAAUCUUGCGCAAUGGGCGAAAGCCUGACGCAGCGACGCCGCGUGAGGGAUGACGGCCU
Molecule: ribosomal RNA, 388 nt
Filed under: uncultured bacterium
Lineage: Bacteria
Description: bacterial SSU rRNA
Rfam family: Bacterial small subunit ribosomal RNA
Source: RNAcentral